UACGUAGGUGGCGAGCGUUGUCCGGAAUUACUGGGUGUAAAGGGCGCGUAGACGGGUAUGUAAGUCAGAUGUGAAAUACCGGGGCUCAACUCCGGGGCUGCAUUUGAAACUAUGUAUCUUGAGUGCAGGAGAGGUAAGUGGAAUUCCUAGUGUAGCGGUGAAAUGCGUAGAUAUUAGGAGGAACACCAGUGGCGAAGGCGACUUACUGGACUGUAACUGACGUUGAGGCGCGAAAGCGUGGGUAGCAAACAGG
RNAcentral lists this ribosomal RNA (253 nucleotides) under uncultured bacterium. RNAcentral's name for it is "partial 16S ribosomal RNA". It matches the Rfam family "Bacterial small subunit ribosomal RNA", at positions 524 to 776 of the family's 1533-position model. RNAcentral also lists the same sequence under 1 other name. The record is from RNAcentral.